CAUUCACCGCAUAUUGUUCUCAUUCUUAUUAUCGCCUUUACUCCUCCUUUCUCUUCGGUAUUCCUUGCUGAUUUUCUGAUUUAUCGUGGACUUCACUCUCUAUCUUAUUUUGUGCUUAAUCUAAGUUUCAUUUUACUUUGUGGUUUUCACAUUUUCUACUUUCUCUCUCAAAUCUCUUGAACUUGCAGGUAAAUUUUAUUUGUCUUUAAUAUCAAUUUUGUUGUUUUCUAUCUGUUGUUUCUCCUUUUUUGUUCCAAUUUAUUUCAACCCACACAAUACUAAACAAUGGAGGUUUACCUCAAAUUCAUGAAAAUAAACUGAAUUAAAGACAAAUUUUGUCUAUAUUCAAGAAGAUCCAGAAAUUUUCGAGUUAGGGUUUUGAUGGAUGAUAUUGGGGGAACGUUUUUUUUUUGCGGAGAUGAAUUGAAGUCAAGAGCUCAGCUUUGAGUAUUCAAUCUCUUUCAAAACUUGUAUUGCAAAUGUUUGUCUUCUUCUUGCUCUCAAGUCUAGCUGCAGCUAUUUUUUUCUCCUUUUUCUUAGUUCUUCCUUCCCUUUGGGUCAUUAUUGUUAGUUUUGAAAUUUAAUGGUUCCUGAUAUCUUCUCCUCUCAUUUUUUCAUCUUUUUUUCCCUUUGUAUUCUUCGACUAAUUCUGAAGUUUAGUGGUUAUGGCAGGUUUAAAUUGGCCAAUUAAAAUUUUCCUUUCUGCUUUUCGGGUUAUGGCGUGUCCAGAUUGGAGAAAUUUGAGUUCGAUAUUAAAGUUACCCGAUAAUUUUUCUUCAUUUCAUAUUUUUGGGUGGUAAAAUUGUGAUAAAUAUGAAUCGACUCUUUGUGCCUCUUUUGGUGCCGGCCAUGAGCCAAACAAAUAUGAAUGAUCUCGAAAGAGCACAAAUCGUAGUGUGCGAUUUUCUUCCCUGAAUGACAUAAAAAAAUAACACUUAUCAUAGACAAAUAGCAGAAACAUAAAAAAUUUACCUUGACACUUAAGUGAAUGGGAAAUUAGUUCAACUCUAGAUAGACAAUAGAUAGUUGCAUUUACUCUAGAUGGACAAUAGAUAGUUGCAUUUGAUCAAGGGAAACAUGUCGAAAGACACACUACCUCGAGCACAUAGAUUCAAGAUGUCGCACAUGUUUAGGAGAUGACUGUUGUUAAUAUGUUUAGCUUCUCUUCUCCUCUUUCUUUCCCUAUUUUUGUUUGGCUAAAAGGUGUUAUCACUCUGCCACUGAAGUAGUAAAAGCACUAAUAUCCGCAUUGCUACUUUUACAGAGUACUAUUGUAUUUUUCAAAGGAGUGGUAUAAGGCAGUAGAUUAUGAGAGAUAUUGCCUAACAUGAUCAAUAACCCAAUAAAAGGGGGAAAAGGAAGAGGUCAGUAUUGGCGAGUAUGGACUCCCAUGGCCUCAAUGGUAAACUAAUCUUUAGUUGUGUGUUCAACGAUUCCAGUUGUUCCAAUAUACCAAUAUCAGGCCUUUUGAGUUUGGCAUCACCAUUUGAUUUUCAUAUAAGGUGAAGUUAGGGAAAAUAAAAGCUGCAACGUUGUAUCGAGAAGUAAAGAAGUCGUUAAAAUUGGUGAUAAGACUUUUAUAGUCACGUGUAGUAGAAUUAACGUUUGAAUUUGGAUGAUUUUCAAAUAUUCAUACAUUCAGCUUAGUAGAUGGGCUUGUAGUAGGGGCAAUGAGGUUGAUGGAAGCUGAGGUGAGCAAGAUAAGAGUACAUCACUUGAUGCCAUUAGUAAAUUCCUGAAAUUUUAUAUUCACCGGGAGAGUGAAAUAAAAGGUUUGCUUAUUUUUUCAUCUUCACAUGAUCAAUGACUUAGAGAGUGUUUGGCUAAGCUUAUAAGCUGGUCAUACUGGCUUAUAAGCAAUUUUUGGCUUAUCUACUUGUUUGAUAAAAUUAAAAGUGCUUAUAAGUUAAGUGUUUAUAAGCCAAAAAUAAGCCAAAAGCCAUAAGCUGGUCUCUCCCAACUUAUCAAAUUUCAGCUUAUAAGCACUUUAGGUUUGACCAAGAUAUUUACUAUUCUAUCCCUAAAAUACUUUUUUUAAAACAAAAAUCUUCAUAUAUCCAGUUCUUCAGCUGCUUAUUAUUAAUUUCAGCACUUUUAUCCAAACACAUAACUGCUUAUUUUCCAAAUCAGCUUCAGCACUUAAAAGUACUUUUCAGCACCUAAUGCUUAUCAGCUACUCUAAAUCAGCUAAGCCAAACGGGCUCUUAAUUCAUCCCGUCUACUACCUGGAGUUCAACAUUGACGUUUUCAAUAUUGCCAUAGGUACUAACAAUCAAUUGUAGUUGGAGCUUUUGUUGCCGGACUACUUAAAAUCUGCUAUAUCUUUUUAUGUCAUAUGUUUUAUUGCAGAAUAUUAGAAAAUGGAAGUGUUAGCUUCCUUUUCUAUUUUUCCUUUUUGAUGAGUAAACCGACAGCUCUUUAUAGCUCGAAUUCGAUAGUCGUGGUUGAUAAAGGCUGCUUCUACAUGUUCUGAAAAUGAACUGUUUGCUACAUAUUUUCGUUGAAGGAGUUCUGGUCUAUGUUCUGCAUAUAACAUGCUGCACGAGAAAGCAUUAGAUUGUACGCUAUCCAUUCAUAUGCAAAAUCGGCAGAGAAAAAAAUUGUGCAGGAGGGCCUCAGAUGGUGUAAUUAUUUAUAAACUUUUUAAAUUGAUCUCUUCACAAAACUUAAUGUGAGCUUUUGAGCUGUCUAUUAUUCAUUUUUAUCUUUCAUGUUUAGUUUACCAAAAAUGUACCGUUUUUCUUAAUGUAAAGAUAGUUCAGUCAUAUGCACAAGAUGUGCAUCACUAAAAGAAAGCUUAUGAACUUGACUGAUCACUUGGAAAAUAAAGUUCAUAUGAUUGGCAAUAAACAAUAUAGGUAAGGGUACUGUGUGCUUGAGGAGGGAGUGUAUCAAACUCAGUUAGGUCCUAGGAUGAUUUGAUUUCAUUUGAUUUUGUCUCAUUGUCUUAAGAUAAGCUUCUCAAUUUAGACCAACAAUUUAAGGAACCAUCUAUGUAUUUUCUCUAACUGGUUAUCGAAACAAAAAGUAAGUAGAUGAUGGUAGGUUCAUGGUUAUGUGUAAUAUAUAUUGAUUGCAUGAAAUUGCACAAUUGUAUCAUUAUAUUUCUUGCUCAAGUGCACUGGAACUUUAGAAAUUCAUUUUGAAUCAAGAAAGUGGCAGAGAAGAUCUGAUAUUCUAUUGCAUUUUCAUAUCUUAUUUUUCGAAGAUUAGUUGGCUCCUACAUUAUUUUUGUGUGAACUUUCCAAUUUGAGUGUUUAUUUCUGGUAGAAGUAUUUUUCUUCUUCUUUUAUGUACAUAAGUUCAACUCUUUGAGAAAGUGAUAUCGAAAACAAACAAAAAGAAAGCAAAUUUGUUUGUUGCCUAAGCAGAAUUGUCUUCAUUCAAAUAAGGUAAUUUGAUAAAUAAUGUCCACGACUCUCAAGCUUUUUCGCCAAUGCUUAAAAGCUAACUGAUCAUGUUGUCUCUAAUUCCUAUUGUUCUUACUGGUAGUAUAGCAAGGAAUACGGGUUUCGAAAAUCUGGGAUGCUGACAAAAAAAUUUCAUUAACUGAAAUUUACAUUUGUACGAAAAUUUGUUGAACUCCAGUUCAAAAUUGCACGUGGAACUUAUAUUUUGACCUCCUUUUGCCUUUUGAAUCUUCAUCUCUUUCUUUAUUAGUGAAGAGUCUAAAGACCAAAAUUGUUGUGCCUGUAACAGUUUAUCUUCUUUGUUAUUGCAGUUCUUGCGAUCCGCUGUGGUUGUUUUCUACUUCUGUUAUUCAGUAGCACUCGAACCAGAAGGCAAAUUUUCUAAUCUCUUGUCAUUUAUUUUUAGGUAUUGUAUGUUUUUGCUUGAGUUCUUUUAAAAAAUUAUAAUAAACAUACAUAGAUAUUAGUCACUGUUGAAAGUAUAUUCAGUAAUGUAAAUACGUACAAAUUGCAUGGACAUCUUUUUGCUUUUGAUUUUUUACUUUGUUUUCCUGUAUCUCUGUUUGAUCAAAAUAAACUUUUAUUAUUUUUUGUGCGUCCGAUCAGCUACACUUACUUGGAGAUUUGUGUUUGUUCCAGUGGUUCUAAUCGACGAGUCAUACUGAUCAUUUAUUAUUGUCUUUCUCAAUAUGCUUUCAGGUACUCUUCGCUCUUUCUUUCCCCUUCGUAUAUAAUUUUUACUAUCUAUAUUUUGUUUGUUUGUGGUCGAGCUUCUGCUGAAUUCUAAGUUGGCAUUUAAGGUUCCUAAGAAACAUUUCAGGUUCGUAAGAACGGAACCUCAUCGUUUUAGGUUUUUGGCUUGAAUUAUUGUUUUCGGUUAUGAGUGAGUGUUCUAGCUUCAGAGACUCAUUAAAUGCUACGUCGAAUGAAUCUUAUACGAUUAUAUGAUUAGAAAAUAAAUAUGUUUCUCGACUUACGUGUUUUGUAUUCGUAUAUAUUUUAUGGCAUCGAAAUAAAGUUUAUUUUUCCAUUUUUUUUAUUUGACUAAGUUUAAAAUUUUCAGUGUCCUAAAUGAAAAACAUAUGAUAGUUAAUCAUGACGUUUUCAACAGACUGAAGCAGGGUGACCAAGUGCUUAAUUUUCUUGCUGAUGUUUCUAAAGCUCUUAUUAGAGAAGUAUCUUUAAAAUCUUACUAUCUUAAUGAUUUAUUUAUUUUUACAAUCUUUUGGUAUUAGAUUGCAAUUGAGAGUAAAAAACAGUGAGCCUAAGGACCAACUCGAUUUUGAUUAAAGAAGGAGAAUACUUCCAUUGGCAACUACCAAUAUGGCUGAAAAUCUGGACUCUUGAUGUGGAGGUUUUUAAUUAUUAAAUAAUACCUCAAACUUCAUAUAGGUUCUGCAGGUUUCUUCUCUUCCCAUUGAAUGGCUUUAAUGAUCUAUCUUUGCGUCAAUGAUUAACUUUGUGAGCAUAUUUGUUGGAUGUUGUUCUGGCAUCUUAUUGUACAACAGAAAACAUUUAAAGGAUGUGGAGUAUGUGCAUUAGAUCCUGCUACAUGAUUCAGAUUGCUUUCACUCAUAUGGUGUCUGGGCAAAGGAUUUGAGAAGUUGUCCAGUACCGAAAGUUUUGUCGCUGACAGAGUUGAAACAAGAUAUCUCAGCUCGGGUGUUGCUUCCAUCGAAAUAUACCAGGUACCAAUAUUUUUGACAGAAGCAGGCAAGAAAGGAGCCGAACCAAAGCGUGAUAGCUGCACUAUAUUGCGUAUGCAUAGUAUAUAUUUGAACGUAUUUCUCCCAUAGAUGAAAGGAAUAUGCCAUUUGGCAACCACACAACAUUCAAGAAUGGAUAUUUUGUCAUCCAUAUUCAUAAAUAAUAUCCUACAGUUGGUAUAUAAUAUCGUUAAAGUCAAUUGAUAGUUCUUUA
Nicotiana tabacum (common tobacco) is the source of this 5330-nucleotide non-coding RNA. Lineage: Eukaryota; Viridiplantae; Streptophyta; Magnoliopsida; Solanales; Solanaceae. The record is from RefSeq and is a predicted model, not a curated record.